CGUGUAGGCGGCGAUCUAAGUCGGGUGUGAAAUCCCUCGGCCCAACCGGGGAAUGGCAUUCGAUACUGGAUUGCUUGAGUGCGGUAGGGGCAAGUGGAACUCCAGGUGUAGCGGUGAAAUGCGUAGAUAUCUGGAGGAACGCCGGUGGCGAAAGCGACUUGCUGGACCGCAACUGACGCUGAGGCGCGAAAGCUAGGGGAGCAAAC
This 206-nucleotide ribosomal RNA is filed under the name uncultured bacterium. RNAcentral's name for it is "partial 16S ribosomal RNA". It matches the Rfam family "Bacterial small subunit ribosomal RNA", at positions 568 to 773 of the family's 1533-position model. The record is from RNAcentral.